UCGUAGGCAAAACUAAGAAGUUCUGACU
RNAcentral lists this unclassified non-coding RNA (28 nucleotides) under Dictyostelium discoideum. The record is from RNAcentral. Lineage: Eukaryota; Evosea; Eumycetozoa; Dictyosteliales; Dictyosteliaceae.